Molecule: unclassified non-coding RNA, 395 nt
Filed under: soil metagenome
Description: partial contains 5.8S ribosomal RNA, internal transcribed spacer 2, and large subunit ribosomal RNA
Rfam family: 5.8S ribosomal RNA (bases 1-122)
Source: RNAcentral
GAUGAAGAACGCAGCGAAAUGCGAUACUUGGUGUGAAUUGCAGAAUCCCGUGAACCAUCGAGUCUUUGAACGCAAGUUGCGCCCGAAGCCAUCAGGUUGAGGGCACGUCUGCCUGGGCGUCACAUAUCGUUGCCCAAUGCCUAUUGCAGUGCAAUAGGAAUUUCUAGGGCGAAUGAUGGCUUCCCGUGAGCGUUGUUGCCUCGCGGUUGGUUGAAAAUCGAGUCCUUGGUAGGGUGUGCCAUGGUAGAUGGUGGUCGAGUUAGAACGAUACCGAUCAUGUGCAUGCUCCCCAAAAUAUGGCCUCUAUGACCCACACGCGUCUUUUGACUCUCAUGACGAGACCUCAGGUCAGGCGGGGCUACCCGCUGAAUUUAAGCAUAUCAAUAAGCGGAGGA